RNAcentral lists this ribosomal RNA (408 nucleotides) under uncultured bacterium. Its description in RNAcentral is "partial 16S ribosomal RNA". It matches the Rfam family "Bacterial small subunit ribosomal RNA", at positions 355 to 760 of the family's 1533-position model. The record is from RNAcentral.
UGGGGAAUAUUGGACAAUGGGCGCAAGCCUGAUCCAGCAAUGCCGCGUGUGUGAAGAAGGCCUUCGGGUUGUAAAGCACUUUUAUCAGGAGCGAAACGCUGUCGGCUAAUACCCGGCGGAACUGACGGUACCUGAGGAAUAAGCACCGGCUAACUUCGUGCCAGCAGCCGCGGUAAUACGAAGGUGCAGCGUAAUCGGAAUUACUGGCGUAAAGCGUGCGUAGGCGGUUUCUUAAGUCUGCUGUGAAAUCCCGGCUCAACCUGGGAAUGGCAGUGGAUACGUGGGAGGCUAGAGUGUGUCAGAGGGUGGUGGAAUUCCCGGUGUAGCGGUGAAAUGCGUAGAGAUCGGGAGGAACAUCAGUGGCGAAGGCGGCCACCUGGGACAACACUGACGCUGAGGCACGAAAGC